UGCCAGCAGCCGCGGUAAUACGAAGGGUGCUAGCGUUGUUCGGAAUUACUGGGCUUAAAGGGUGCGUAGGCGGUGAUGUAGGUGGGGUGUGAAAUCCCUCGGCUCAACCGAGGAACUGCGCUCCAAACCACAUGACUAGAGGGAGACAGAGGUAAGCGGAACUGAUGGUGGAGCGGUGAAAUGCGUUGAUAUCAUCAGGAACACCAGUGGCGAAAGCGGCUUACUGGGUCUCUUCUGACGCUGAGGCACGAAAGCUAGGGUAGCGAACGGGAUUAGAUA
This 279-nucleotide ribosomal RNA is filed under the name uncultured bacterium. RNAcentral describes it as "partial 16S ribosomal RNA". It matches the Rfam family "Bacterial small subunit ribosomal RNA", at positions 506 to 784 of the family's 1533-position model. The record is from RNAcentral.